RNAcentral lists this ribosomal RNA (253 nucleotides) under uncultured bacterium. Its description in RNAcentral is "partial 16S ribosomal RNA". It matches the Rfam family "Bacterial small subunit ribosomal RNA", at positions 524 to 776 of the family's 1533-position model. The record is from RNAcentral.
UACAGAGGGGGCAAGCGUUGUUCGGAGUUACUGGGCGUAAAGGGCGCGUAGGCGGCCCGCUAAGUCGAACGUGAAAUCCCUGGGCUCAACCCAGGAACUGCGUCCGAUACUGGCAGGCUUGAAUCCGGGAGAGGGAUGCGGAAUUCCAGGUGUAGCGGUGAAAUGCGUAGAUAUCUGGAGGAACACCGGUGGCGAAGGCGGCAUCCUGGACCGGUAUUGACGCUGAGGCGCGAAAGCCAGGGGAGCAAACGGG